GACGAACGCUGGCGGCGUGCCUAAUACAUGCAAGUAGAACGCUGAGGUUUGGUGUUUACACUAGACUGAUGGGUUGCGAACGGGUGAGUAACGCGUAGGUAACCUGCCUCAUAGCGGGGGAUAACUAUUGGAAACGAUAGCUAAUACCGCAUAAGAGUAAUUAACACAUGUUGGUUAUUUAAAAGGAGCAAUUGCUUCACUGUGAGAUGGACCUGCGUUGUAUUAGCUAGUUGGUGAGGUAAAGGCUCACCAAGGCGACGAUACAUAGCCGACCUGAGAGGGUGAUCGGCCACACUGGGACUGAGACACGGCCCAGACUCCUACGGGAGGCAGCAGUAGGGAAUCUUCGGCAAUGGACGGAAGUCUGACCGAGCAACGCCGCGUGAGUGAAGAAGGUUUUCGGAUCGUAAAGCUCUGUUGCUAGAGAAGAACGUUGGUAGGAGUGGAAAAUCUACCAAGUGACGGUAACUAACCAGAAAGGGACGGCUAACUACGUGCCAGCAGCCGCGGUAAUACGUAGGUCCCGAGCGUUGUCCGGAUUUAUUGGGCGUAAAGCGAGCGCAGGCGGUUCUUUAAGUCUGAAGUUAAAGGCAGUGGCUUAACCAUUGUACGCUUUGGAAACUGGAGGACUUGAGUGCAGAAGGGGAGAGUGGAAUUCCAUGUGUAGCGGUGAAAUGCGUAGAUAUAUGGAGGAACACCGGUGGCGAAAGCGGCUCUCUGGUCUGUAACUGACGCUGAGGCUCGAAAGCGUGGGGAGCAAACAGG
This 765-nucleotide ribosomal RNA is filed under the name uncultured Streptococcus sp. RNAcentral's name for it is "bacterial SSU rRNA". It matches the Rfam family "Bacterial small subunit ribosomal RNA", at positions 28 to 776 of the family's 1533-position model. Lineage: Bacteria; Bacillati; Bacillota; Bacilli; Lactobacillales; Streptococcaceae. The record is from RNAcentral.